GGCGGCGUAGCUCAGGGGCUAGAGCAGGGGAUUCAUAAGCCCAAGGUCGGUGGUUCAAAUCCACCCGCCGCCACCA
RNAcentral lists this transfer RNA (76 nucleotides) under Planctomycetota bacterium. Its description in RNAcentral is "tRNA-Met". It matches the Rfam family "tRNA". From Rfam's summary of the family: Transfer RNA (tRNA) molecules are approximately 80 nucleotides in length. Their secondary structure includes four short double-helical elements and three loops (D, anti-codon, and T loops). Lineage: Bacteria; Pseudomonadati; Planctomycetota. The record is from RNAcentral.